CGGAGGAAAAGAAACCAACAGGGAUUGCCCUAGUAACGGCGAGUGAAGCGGCAACAGCUCAAAUUUGAAAUCUGGCUCUCGGGCCCGAGUUGUAAUUUGUAGAGGAUGCUUUUGAUGCGGUGCCUUCCGAGUUCCCUGGAACGGGACGCCAUAGAGGGUGAGAGCCCCGUCUGGUUGGAUGCCAAAUCUCUGUAAAGCUCCUUCAACGAGUCGAGUAGUUUGGGAAUGCUGCUCUAAAUGGGAGGUAUAUGUCUUCUAAAGCUAAAUACCGGCCAGAGACCGAUAGCGCACAAGUAGAGUGAUCGAAAGAUGAAAAGCACUUUGAAAAGAGAGUUAAAAAGUACGUGAAAUUGUUGAAAGGGAAGCGUUUAUGACCAGACUUGGACUUGGUUAAUCAUCUGGGGUUCUCCCCAGUGCACUUUUCCAGUUCAGGCCAGCAUCAGUUUUCCCCGGGGGAUAAAGGCGGCGGGAAUGUGGCUCUCUUCGGGGAGUGUUAUAGCCCGCCGUGUAAUACCCUGGGGGGGACUGAGGUUCGCGC
This 538-nucleotide ribosomal RNA is filed under the name fungal endophyte. Its description in RNAcentral is "eukaryotic LSU rRNA". It matches the Rfam family "Eukaryotic large subunit ribosomal RNA", at positions 51 to 600 of the family's 3401-position model. The record is from RNAcentral. Lineage: Eukaryota; Fungi.